UUUUCUUGUUUCCGUCUUUCUUUCAUUGUGUCGUCCCUUCCUACCUUUUUUCUUUCUUUUUUUUUCCUUUCUCCUGCGGCACCGAAUGUUUCUUUCCAGCAGCAGAACACACGUGAACAACAGCGCAAGUUGAUCGUUAUGUGCAGCCUCUCACUCUUGAAGGGCGGUUCUUUCAGUAAUUCCGUGUAUCACUAAGUUGGCGGUGCUGGUGAUAGCUCAUUCCUGGCCGGGAUCUACAUUGACUUAAUUCCUCCACUCUUAAUUGACACCGUGGAUUGAAUAGACAGAGUUAAGUAAUGUUGCAAGUGUUACGUGUUGAGGGGUCUCAUUUGUGUUUGAUUUUACAAGAUUAGUGCUUAGGGGACUUUUGUGUUUGUGCCCUUGAGCUGCUUCCUUUAAUAAAAAAAAAAAAAAAAAUACAAAGGAUGGCACUAAAGUUGGAGAUGGUGUUGGUGGGUCGGGGUUAGGAUGGUGAUGGUGGGGGCGGUGCCUAGGUGACCCUCAAAGCCCGGUCCUUAGCCUCAUGUACACGUUUACGACCUGUAUAAACUGCGUCGUGCAAGGCUAAAUCAUUUAUUCCCAUGUUUGUCGGCCGCGCCAGGAAAGGAAGUCCAGUUGUCGCCUCCCAAGAUAGAUUAAGGAUUCAGCGACUCUCGAGGGCGGGAGGGCGGAGGGAAAAAAUGUGGUACGGUCUGGUAAAUCGGAUGUGCAAUUCAAGACAAACAAUGGAGAAUCAAUCACAAGGAACCUGACUUCGAGAUAUGAAUACACGAGUGUGUGAGUGAGUGAGCCUUGCGUCAUCCCUUGAAGACUGACGAGCUAUUCAACCACAAACUUUACUUAUUUUCCGGUGAAGCGAUGCAGGCACGCGGCGGGGAAAGCUAACGGGACGCGGGUCGCUUUUGUCAGACGCUUCCACCUCUCACAUCAACUAUUUCCAGAGGCAGAAUAGGAGAUCAGGCGGGUUCAAAUGAACGUUUCUUCACGUUCAUGGUAUAGAAAAACGGUCAAACUAACGGAAGGGUCAUAAAACUAUCCCUGGAAAUGCUCGAAACUCUCAGCCUUGUCAAUGUUUAUGUGCUUGGGCCGAAAAGGAGAUCAAUCGGGUGCACAUCAGUGUUUCUUCACGUUCAUGGUAAAGAAUAACGGUCAAACUAAUGGAAGGGUUAUGAAACUACCCCUGGAAGUGUUCGAAACUCUCAGCCUUGUCAAAGAUAUGUGCUUGGGCCGAUAAGGAGAUCAAUCGGGUGCAAAUCAGUGUUUCUUCACGUUCAUGGUAUAGAAGAACGGUCAAACUAACGGAAGGGUUAUGAAACUAUCCCUGGAAAUGCUAGAAACUCUCAGCCUUGUCAAAGAUAUGUGCUUGGACCGAUAAGGAGAUCAAUCGGGUGCAAAUCAGUGUUUCUUCACGUUCAUGGUAUAGAAGAACGGUCAAACUAAUGGAAGGGUUAUGAAACUACCCCUGGAAGUGCUCGAAACUCUCAGCCUUGUCAAAUACGUGUCCUUGGGCGCCGAAAUGUUUAAAAAAUAUGACCCCACAGAGUCGCAGUGAAGAACGUGUAUCCAAGGAAACAUCUAUCGUCACUGUGCUGAAGGUUAGAUGGGGUUCAUGUGAAGUAACGGAGGCGUAAUUAUGACUUGGGAUGCAAGGGAAGGACGUGAUAUUGUGAUUCUAGGAUAUACUAAGGCAUACUUUAUCGUUUGCCUUUCAUAUAAGUUUUUCUUUAUGUUACAGCAGAGGCAGAGUACUGUAUCGGAGGGAUUAGUUACGCUUGAUUCAUGUUCACGAUACAAAGUGCAGAAGAUCGUAAUAUUGUGAUCCUAGCAUGUAACAAAGGCAUGAUUUCUCGUUUUGCCACACAGAGGAGGUUUUUGUCAUGUUACAGCAGAGGAAAGGUAUUGUAACGGAGGGAUUAGUUACGCUUGAUUCAUGUUCACGAUACAAAGUGCAGAAGAUCGUAAUAUUGUGGUCCUUGCAUGUAACAAAGGCAUGAUUUCUCGUUUUGCCACACAGAGGAGGUUUUUGUCGUGUUACAGCAGAGGAAAUGUGUUGUAACGGAGGGAUUAGUUACGCUUGAUUCAUGUUCACGAUACAAAGUGCAGAAGAUCGUAAUAUUGUGAUCCUAGCAUGCAACAGUGGGCCGUGAUUUCUCGUUUUGCCACACAGAGGAGGUUUUUGUCGUGUUACAGCAGAGGAAAUGUAUUGUAACGGAGGGAUUAGUUACGCUUGAUUCAUGUUCACGAUACAAAGUGCAGAAGAUCGUCAUAUUGUGAUCCUAGCAUGUAACAAAGGCAUGAUUUCUCGUUUUGCCACACAGAGGAGGUUUUUGUCAUGUUACAGCAGAGGAAAUGUGUUGUAACGGAGGGAUUAGUUACGCUUGAUUCAUGUUCACGAUACAAAGUGCAGAAGAUCGUAAUUUUGUGAUCCUAGCAUGUAACAAAGGCAUGAUUUCUCGUUUUGCCACACAGAGGAGGUUUUUGUCGUGUUACAGCAGAGGAAGUGUAUUGUAUCGGAGGGAUUAGUUACGCUUGAUUCAUGUUCACGAUACAAAGUGCAGAAGAUCGUCAUAUUGUGGUCCUUGCAUGUAACAAAGGCAUGAUUUCUCGUUUUGCCACACAGAGGAGGUUUUUGUCGUGUUACAGCAGAGGAAAGGUAUUGUAACGGAGGGAUUAGUUACGCUUGAUUCAUGUUCACGAUACAAAGUGCAGAAGAUCGUAAUUUUGUGAUCCUAGCAUGCAACAGUGGGCCGUGAUUUCUCGUUUUCCCUACCCGAUUCUUCCCUUCCCUUCAUAUCUGUCCAUCCUCAGUUUCUCAGUUUCUUUUCCCAUUCCCUCCCCCUCUGAUCAAUUCCUUUCUUCCUUCCUUCCUUUUUUCCUGCCCUCCUUCCUUCCUCCCUUCUUACCUCCAUCCCUACUUCCUCGUUUUCUUCUUUUCGACUAUCCCUCUCUUCCCACCUCUCCCUCCUUCCCUCCUUCCGUAUACUCUCUCCAUUUUAUCUAUAUUUCUUUCCUCCCUCCUUCCUUCCCUUUUCUCUCCCAACUCGUUCUCAUCUUUCUCGUUUCCUCCUUCCCCCCUCCCCUCCUUUCAUCUCUCCCUCUCUCCCUCCCUCUCUCCCUUCUUCCCUCCCUCCCCUCCUUUCAUCUCUCCCUCCCUCCCUCUCUCCCCCCUCCAGCCCAGCCGAGUAAAGUGGGCAACACGCGAGCCUCUUCCUGCCUAUAUUAGUUUGGGAACCUCGAGACACGGCGGAAAAAAUAGCUUGUAAAACUUUUUUCGAAUUAUCAUUUUUGUCUUGCGCAUUGAUUAGGAUGGUGCUGAAGGGACGAUACGCACACACACACACACACACACACACACACACACACACACACACACACACGCACACACGCACGCACACGCACAUGUCUCCCUCCUUUCUUCCUUUCCUCCAUCCCUCCUUCCUUGUUUCCUUCUACCCGCCUAUCGUCUUCCUCCUCCCAGCUCUCCCUCCUUGCUUCCUUCCUUUACCCCCCCCCCCCCCACACACACACACACACGCAUACGUCUCCCUCCUGCAAACAAAUUGGUUGGCUUCAUCGGACGAGUCUUUAAUAAUAAAUCGGAAAAAGUAAUAUUAAAACUGUAUAAUUCGUUGGUUCGACCCCGUCUAGAGUACUGUGUACAGUUUUGGUCUCCCUAGUACAGAAAAGACAUAGAAAAGUUGGAACGGGUCCAACGAAGAGUAACAAAGAUGAUUCCUAGGUUGAGAAAUUUGUCAUAUGAACAAAGGCUUAAAGAAGUAAAUUUAUUCAGCCUAUCAAAACGAAGAA
Long non-coding RNA from Eriocheir sinensis (Chinese mitten crab), 3807 nucleotides. RefSeq lists it as uncharacterized. Lineage: Eukaryota; Metazoa; Arthropoda; Malacostraca; Decapoda; Varunidae. The record is from RefSeq and is a predicted model, not a curated record. The transcript has 3 exons.